Molecule: long non-coding RNA, 558 nt
Organism: Cydia pomonella (codling moth)
Lineage: Eukaryota; Metazoa; Arthropoda; Insecta; Lepidoptera; Tortricidae
Exons: 2
Source: RefSeq, a predicted model, not a curated record
GUGGUAGGCCCACAAAGAGUAGAACACAAAGAGUAAUGUAAAUAAGGACCCUCUACACUCGUGCGCGAAUCACGGCGCGAAAAAACAGAUAGCAUCUGGCUAACCUAAUAUUGUUGACAGAUAUUUCCUUGUUGUAUCACCAAUUGUCUAUGAUUAAAAAAAAUGCUAAAAGUCUGUUAUCAAUUUAUAUCAUUCAUUUAAAUUGUUCGCGGUUUAUAAGGGGUUUAUUUCAGUUCAUUUUAAAUAAUAUUAAUAAUGAUUAUACCGAGUGAGGUCCGCAAACUAUUAUUUAACCUCGUAAAUAAUUACGACAAUGUGCGAAGUCGACGUGAAGCGUUGUAUAACGAAAUACUGCAAUGUUUACAAGUCGUAAACAAUUUAGUAGGACAAGUGUCUAAAGAAACGGAUAAACUAGAAGUUCUGGAAAAUAUCAAUAAAAUCAAAACAUUGGAACGUAACGAGUUACUGAAAACCAAUAUUUAGAAGAAAUCUGUGGAGUGACUGGUCAGUAGUAAUUUGAUAUAAAAAUAUAAAAUAUAUAAAAAUAUCUUGGCGAAA